RNAcentral lists this ribosomal RNA (232 nucleotides) under uncultured bacterium. RNAcentral describes it as "partial 16S ribosomal RNA". It matches the Rfam family "Bacterial small subunit ribosomal RNA", at positions 118 to 351 of the family's 1533-position model. The record is from RNAcentral.
UGAGUAACCUGCCCUUGACUCUGGGAUAAGCGUUGGAAACGACGUCUAAUACCGGAUACGAGCUUCAGUCGCAUGACUAGGAGCUGGAAAGAACUUCGGUCAAGGAUGGACUCGCGGCCUAUCAGCUAGUUGGUGAGGUAACGGCCCACCAAGGCGACGACGGGUAGCCGGCCUGAGAGGGUGACCGGCCACACUGGGACUGAGACACGGCCCAGACUCCUACGGGAGGCAG